This 72-nucleotide transfer RNA is filed under the name Ictidomys tridecemlineatus (thirteen-lined ground squirrel). RNAcentral's name for it is "Spermophilus tridecemlineatus (thirteen-lined ground squirrel) tRNA". It matches the Rfam family "tRNA". Rfam says of the family: Transfer RNA (tRNA) molecules are approximately 80 nucleotides in length. Their secondary structure includes four short double-helical elements and three loops (D, anti-codon, and T loops). Further hydrogen bonds mediate the characteristic L-shaped molecular structure. tRNAs have two regions of fundamental functional importance: the anti-codon, which is responsible for specific mRNA codon recognition, and the 3' end, to which the tRNAs corresponding amino acid is attached (by aminoacyl-tRNA synthetases). tRNAs cope with the degeneracy of the genetic code in two manners: having more than one tRNA (with a specific anti-codon) for a particular amino acid; and 'wobble' base-pairing, i.e. permitting non-standard base-pairing at the 3rd anti-codon position. The record is from Rfam by way of RNAcentral. Lineage: Eukaryota; Metazoa; Chordata; Mammalia; Rodentia; Sciuridae.
GGGGUUGUGGCUCAGCGGUAGAGCACUCGCCUAGCAUGUGCAAGGUUCUGGGUUCAAUCCUCAGCAACACAU